AACGCGAAGAACCUUACCUACCCUUGACAUCCUCGGAACCUGCUAGAGAUAGUGGGGUGCCUUCGGGAACCGAGAGACAGGUGCUGCAUGGCUGUCGUCAGCUCGUGUCGUGAGAUGUUGGGUUAAGUCCCGUAACGAGCGCAACCCUUGUCCUUAGUUGCCAACAGGUAAAGCUGGGAACUCUAAGGAGACUGCCGGUGAUAAGCCGGAGGAAGGUGGGGAUGACGUCAAGUCCUCAUGGCCCUUACGGGUAGGGCUACACACGUGCUACAAUGGACGGUACAAAGGGAAGCGAAGCCGCGAGGUGAAGCGAAUCUUGAGAAAGCCGUUCGUAGUCCGGAUUGGAGUCUGCAACUCGACUCCAUGAAGUUGGAAUCGCUAGUAAUCGCAGAUCAGAACGCUGCGGUGAAUACGUUCCCGGGCCUUGUACACACCGGUACUA
RNAcentral lists this ribosomal RNA (442 nucleotides) under uncultured bacterium. Its description in RNAcentral is "bacterial SSU rRNA". It matches the Rfam family "Bacterial small subunit ribosomal RNA", at positions 958 to 1398 of the family's 1533-position model. The record is from RNAcentral.